Molecule: long non-coding RNA, 1215 nt
Organism: Benincasa hispida (wax gourd)
Lineage: Eukaryota; Viridiplantae; Streptophyta; Magnoliopsida; Cucurbitales; Cucurbitaceae
Source: RefSeq, a predicted model, not a curated record
GAAGUAUUAUACAAUAUUAGAACUUUUGAAAUCCAGAAUGCCCUUCAGUUAAUACAAGUGUUUGAAAAUGGGGAAUUAAGCGGAAACAAUAAUGUUAAAAGAUGUGCAAAGUUGAAGCGUUUAUGCUUGUGUGAUCUUCCAAAGCUUACGCACGUGUGGAAAGAAAGUAGUGAAGUCACCACAAUUAGCUUUGAUAGCUUGCAGUGGAUGGAGGUAACGGGAUGUGAGAAUUUGAAGUGCAUAUUACCAUCCUCAAUCACAUUCUUAAACUUGAUGUAUCUUUACGUCAAGAAUUGCAAUGGAAUGAUGAACUUGUUUAGCUCUUCAGUGGUAAAGAAUCUGAGGAAUCUCAAACACAUUGACUUAUCUGAUUGUAGAGAAAUGAUAUCUAUAGUAUCGGGAGAAGAAGAAAAUGGUGAAUCUGUUUUCCAAGAACUUUAUUUUCUGAGACUUCAUAAUUUACCAACACUGGCCUGCUUUGACACUACAAAAUAUAUGCUUAAGUUUCCAUCUUUGAAGAGAUUGGUCAUAGUUCAAUGCAACGAAAUGAAGACAUUUUCAGUUGGAAUAGUAAGCACACCCAAAUUGUAUUCCAUAAAUAUUGAAAGAAGAGACUUUAAAAUCUCACCAGCCAGGGACAUAAAUGUCAUUAUCCAUGACAUUUUCAAAAAACCCAACAGGUACACAAUUUUCUAUUACUACCCUUUUUUUAUUUGCUUAAAAUAUGAUUACAGUACAAAGACAAUACUUAUAUAAUCAGGAUGGAGGAAAGCCAGGACGACCGUGAAGAUCAACUCAACCUAUGAAAGACUUUCCACCACACGGUUAUAUCCUUAGGUUAUCAAAAUUGGAGAAGAGGAAAAUGUACUGGUUCUAUCCUUUAAAGGUGCAUUGUACUUUCGAAUAACCAUAUUCCAUGAAAGAGAAGCUGAAGUACUUUUGUAAUUGGAUUGAGAGAGAAGCUGUUACAAUGGAUUGCCUAACUUCUCAACUUUGGGGACUAUGCACAGAUCGAUUGUUGAACUUAAGUUUUGAGUAUCUUCUUUUUUGUUUCUUUUAAAACUUGCUCUAUUUUAAGACUUUGAUUGUGAAGAUAAACAUGUUAUCUGAUUUUUUGGUGAAAGUUAAAUGUGCUAGAUGUUAUAGGAACAUUCAUCUCGAAAGUAUUCAGUUGUGGAACUUUCCAACAAACAUUUGCUUGUACUCGAAUGGUUG